AGGUAAGCUACUAAGAGCGAAUGGUGGAUGCCUUGACUGGUAAAGGCGAUGAAGGACGUACUAGACUGCGAUAAGCUACGGGGAGCUGUCAAGAAGCUUUGAUCCGUAGAUUUCCGAAUGGGGCAACCCAAUGUAUAGAGAUAUACAUUACCUAUAUAGGAGCGAACGAGGGGAAUUGAAACAUCUUAGUACCCUCAGGAAAAGAAAUCAAUAGAGAUUGCGUCAGUAGCGGCGAGCGAAAGCGCAAGAGGGCAAACCCAGUGCUUGCACUGGGGGUUGUAGGACUGCAAUGUGCAAGAGGUGAGUUUAGCAGAACAUUCUGGAAAGUAUAGCCAUAGAGGGUGAUAGUCCCGUAUGCGAAAAACAAACCUUAGCUAGCAGUAUCCUGAGUAGGGCGGGACACGAGAAAUCCUGUCUGAAGCUGGGUCGACCACGAUCCAACCCUAAAUACUAAUACCAGAUCGAUAGUGCACAAGUACCGUGAGGGAAAGGUGAAAAGAACUGAGGUGAUCAGAGUGAAAUAGAACCUGAAACCAUUUGCUUACAAUCAUUCAGAGCCCUAUGUAGCAAUACAGGGUGAUGGACUGCCUUUUGCAUAAUGAGCCUGCGAGUUGUGGUGUCUGGCAAGGUUAAGCAAACGCGAAGCCGUAGCGAAAGCGAGUCUGAAUAGGGCGCUUAGUCAGAUGCUGCAGACCCGAAACGAAGUGAUCUAUCCAUGAGCAAGUUGAAGCUAGUGUAAGAACUAGUGGAGGACUGAACCCAUAGGCGUUGAAAAGCCCCGGGAUGACUUGUGGAUAGGGGUGAAAGGCCAAUCAAACUUCGUGAUAGCUGGUUCUCUCCGAAAUAUAUUUAGGUAUAGCGUUGUGUCGUAAUAUAAGGGGGUAGAGCACUGAAUGGGCUAGGGCAUACACCAAUGUACCAAACCCUAUCAAACUCCGAAUACCUUAUAUGUAAUCACAGCAGUCAGGCGGCGAGUGAUAAAAUCCGUCGUCAAGAGGGAAACAACCCAGACUACCAGCUAAGGUCCCUAAAUCUUACUUAAGUGGAAAACGAUGUGAAGUUACUUAAACAACCAGGAGGUUGGCUUAGAAGCAGCCAUCCUUUAAAGAAAGCGUAAUAGCUCACUGGUCUAGUGAUUUUGCGCGGAAAAUAUAACGGGGCUAAAGUAAGUACCGAAGCUGUAGACUUGCGCACAACUUAGAUUAUUUAAGUUUAGAAUAUGAGAAACUAAGUUAUAUGUUUAGUUAUAUUUUUACUGAUUUUUAUAGAGUAAAGAUAGAAAUAAAACUUAGUAAAAUCAGUAAAAAUAUUCUUAGACUAAAGUUAAGUAGUUUAAGUUGUGUGCAAGUGGUAGGAGAGCGUUCUAUUUGCGUCGAAGGUAUACCGGUAAGGAGUGCUGGAGCGAAUAGAAGUGAGCAUGCAGGCAUGAGUAGCGAUAAUUAAUGUGAGAAUCAUUAACGCCGUAAACCCAAGGUUUCCUACGCGAUGCUCGUCAUCGUAGGGUUAGUCGGGUCCUAAGUCGAGUCCGAAAGGGGUAGACGAUGGCAAAUUGGUUAAUAUUCCAAUACCAACAUUAGUGUGCGAUGGAAGGACGCUUAGGGCUAAGGGGGCUAGCGGAUGGAAGUGCUAGUCUAAGGUCGUAGGAGGUUAUACAGGCAAAUCCGUAUAACAAUACUCCGAGAACUGAAAGGCUUUUUGAAGUCUUCGGAUG
Molecule: ribosomal RNA, 1711 nt
Filed under: Campylobacter coli
Lineage: Bacteria; Pseudomonadati; Campylobacterota; Epsilonproteobacteria; Campylobacterales; Campylobacteraceae
Description: partial 23S ribosomal RNA
Rfam family: Bacterial large subunit ribosomal RNA
Source: RNAcentral